CUCUAAUUCGAGUUGAAAGUAUCCGUCUUUCACUCUAAAUAGAGUUGUCCGCCAUAUGGCUAUUGCAAGAGUGGUAUGGCGGACAAUUAAGAGAGCAUCAAGACAUCUUUUACAUUAAGAGAGCAUGUCAUCAGAUGAUACAAAAGCUAACUUUUUUUUCUUCUUCCGUUUAUGCAGAUUCUGUUUUCUUCUGAACAUGAUGAUGAACCAGUCUAUCCCCGCUGUUAUCUUCAGCCAAGGGGGUCUACCUGAAGGUUCAAAACAUUGAAGGCAGAACAUGUUAAGUAACUGACUUAUCAACAGUUCAUCAACACACUUUCCUAAAGGGGAUGUCGUGGAAGGUGAUUGUGCAUUGCUGACAAUUCUGGAACACAUAGAGGAUGGCAAUUUGGUGAAAGCUGUCUUGCGCAGUGAUGACUACAGCUGGAGCUGUUGCAAUAUGAAUCGGUGAAGGAAACCUCAGAAAGUCAGCAACAGACUGCAUGUUUGAGAUACAUUGAUGUGAGGCUAACCAAUGUUUUGUUGACUGUGCUACAACCUAAGAGGAAUGUGUCCACUCUAACCAUGAUUCUACACACGGUCAACUAUCCGACUAAACUCAACUGGACCAUGAUGGCGCCCUCUACUGACUGUAUUAUGACACUCGAGGAGAAGGCUAUCUAAGGGCCUUUUACAAACCUCGGCUUGGGUUCCAGCUCUGGCUUCAGGCUCGGUUAGAAGCACAGUGCUCCCAAACCUUAAAACAAAACCCAUGGAAAGCCAGAUCCAGAGCUAGACAAAGUUUAAAGCCCGGUUCAAACUUUGAAAGUUUCGACAGUUGAACCCUGUUAACUGCUUCGAAACAUUACCUGCGAACACCUUUGCAUUCGCAGGAAGUAUGAGCCUGACUUGAUGUUUACCUCAUAAUGUAUUCUUAUGUAGUUUAAUUACUUCCCUGAUUCCAUCAAAACCCAAAGCCAUAAUUGCAACUCGGUAUCCCCCCCCCCCCCCCCCCCGACUUAAAAAGGGAU
Molecule: long non-coding RNA, 1010 nt
Organism: Asterias rubens (European starfish)
Lineage: Eukaryota; Metazoa; Echinodermata; Asteroidea; Forcipulatida; Asteriidae
Exons: 4
Source: RefSeq, a predicted model, not a curated record